AGAACGAACGCUGGCGGCAUGCUUAACACAUGCAAGUCGAGCGGUAAGGCCCUUUCGGGGGUACACGAGCGGCGAACGGGUGAGUAACACGUGAGCAAUCUGCCCUUCGCUUCGGGAUAAGCCUCGGAAACGGGGUCUAAUACCGGAUAUGACUGCGCCAUGCAUGUGGUGUGGUGGAAAGUUCUGGCGGUGAGGGAUGAGCUCGCGGCCUAUCAGCUUGUUGGUGGGUAAUGGCCUACC
RNAcentral lists this ribosomal RNA (240 nucleotides) under uncultured soil bacterium. RNAcentral describes it as "partial 16S ribosomal RNA". It matches the Rfam family "Bacterial small subunit ribosomal RNA", at positions 26 to 269 of the family's 1533-position model. The record is from RNAcentral.